AUUGAACGCUGGCGGCAUGCCUUACACAUGCAAGUCGAACGGCAGCACGGGUGCUUGCACCUGGUGGCGAGUGGCGAACGGGUGAGUAAUACAUCGGAACAUGUCCUGUAGUGGGGGAUAGCCCGGCGAAAGCCGGAUUAAUACCGCAUACGAUCUACGGAUGGAAGCGGGGGACCUUCGGGCCUCGCGCUAUGGGGUUGGCCGAUGGCUGAUUAGCUAGUUGGUGGGGUAAAGGCCUACCAAGGCGACGAUCAGUAGCUGGUCUGAGAGGACGACCAGCCACACUGGGACUGAGACACGGCCCAGACUCCUACGGGAGGCAGCAGUGGGGAAUUUUGGACAAUGGGCGAAAGCCUGAUCCAGCAAUGCCGCGUGUGUGAAGAAGGCCUUCGGGUUGUAAAGCACUUUUGUCCGGAAAGAAAUCCUUGGCCCUAAUACGGUCGGGGGAUGACGGUACCGGAAGAAUAAGCACCGGCUAACUACGUG
This 486-nucleotide ribosomal RNA is filed under the name uncultured bacterium. Its description in RNAcentral is "partial 16S ribosomal RNA". It matches the Rfam family "Bacterial small subunit ribosomal RNA", at positions 30 to 507 of the family's 1533-position model. The record is from RNAcentral.